AGCUUGCAUAUUGCCAAAUGUGAAGGUGGCACAAUGUUCCUGUGAAGGCACAAACUUCACUGUGGUUCCAGGGCGUUUUGACUUGCAUCUGCCAAUAUAUAUUUGCCAAACAUGCCAGCAUCAGUGGACCCCUGACUUGAAAGACCUACCUAGGAGUGGAUAUUGGCCUGGCUCAGUGACCAGUUCAACAUUUUAUACUCUGGACCUCCUGAGCUCCUUUCAGGAACUCAAAGUCAUCUCUCCAGGAUUCUCCAGGCAAGCCUUCGCAAAGCUGCUGGAGCAUCGCACUAAGAUUGGAGGAGGAGUAAGACUGUUACCAGACAAAACAAAUCCUGUAGAUCUGAAAAUACUGGACAAAUUAACGGCGAUACACUACAGUGCAGCUUCUUAGAUUAUCCAUAUGCUUCAUUAGAGGAAGACCAGCUCUGCUGUAGGGCACCGUUCACCUGCCCAGCCUGCAUGCCAGAAAUGUUGGCUGUUUCAGCAGAUGGAAACAAAAAACUUUAUCGCUUUCGC
Molecule: long non-coding RNA, 516 nt
Organism: Danio aesculapii
Lineage: Eukaryota; Metazoa; Chordata; Actinopteri; Cypriniformes; Danionidae
Exons: 3
Source: RefSeq, a predicted model, not a curated record